UCCAGCUUUGAAUGCAGUGUCCUCUGCGGCUGGCUGAGUAUAUGACCCCAGGAACUGUAUGGACAUGCGCUUAUGUGAUAAUCCAAGGCACAGGGUCUCCCACUGAAUCCGGAACUCUCCAUUUUGGCCAGUAAGCCCUCUGUCUCAGCUGUCCCAGUGCUGGGGUGGCAGACCUGAGCUCCCACACCUGGCAUCGUUCCCCUGCAUUCCGGGCACUCUGCACUUAGGUCUUCUGAGCCAUCUCUGUAUCUCCCUGAGAGGAUUCUUGAGGAAUCAUAGACCGUUGCUAAGUCGCCCAGAAUCACAUCAAAGUGGAUAAGACUUGACGACAACAAGUGGGGAUUUCAUUUCCAACCCAUCUUCACAUUGCCCAACUACCAGAAAGUGAUGGUAUCAGAAUGGCAGGAGGGCCCAGCAAGGAACUGAAACUUGAUUCCUUUGUCACUACCUGCUGUGAGUGGACCUGAAAUACAGAAAUCCUUCUGCUCUGUUGUAACAGCAAGAAGAUGCUGCUUCUGGAACUCUAUGAGAUGGUUCUUUCUGGCCACUCAGCUCACAUGUCACUCCACAGAGGCGUGAGUCUAACGUUGUUACUGUCUCCUAUAUCAAGCCGCCGUCUUCAAACACUAAGAGAUCGUCACGAUCCAGUGAGGUGCUCGCAUCAGAGUUGAGUGCCUGUCAUCCCCAAGAAGAGCAAAGUGCUUGUUGCUCUUGGUCCCGAGCAGACACCAGAGCAAGAGUUGGCAUAGAAGGGCCCCGGUGAGGAAACGCAUUGGAAGAGUGAGUGCAUGGAUUAAAAAAUGCAGUGUGCCAGGAAGGGCCUGGGCCACUGGGUCCUUCCAGCUGCUUCUCUGGAGAGCAGAAAAGGGGGUGGGGGUGCUUGACUUGCUCACAACAUGUUUUGGGGUUUGCCUAGGAUGUGUUAUGAAUCAGUGCCAGGGAUUGCCCAUCCCUUGUGCUCUGACCCAGUCAAAUAUUUUGCUUGUAAAGCUAUUAAAGAGGUAGAGAUAACGGC
Molecule: small RNA, 1015 nt
Filed under: Rattus norvegicus (Norway rat)
Lineage: Eukaryota; Metazoa; Chordata; Mammalia; Rodentia; Muridae
Description: uncharacterized LOC102552470
Source: RNAcentral